This 224-nucleotide ribosomal RNA is filed under the name uncultured bacterium. RNAcentral's name for it is "partial 16S ribosomal RNA". It matches the Rfam family "Bacterial small subunit ribosomal RNA", at positions 109 to 334 of the family's 1533-position model. The record is from RNAcentral.
AGGAACACAUCGGAAUCUACCCUGUCGUGGGGGACAACGUAGGGAAACUUACGCUAAUACCGCAUACGACCUUUGGGUGAAAGCGGGGGACUCGCAAGAGCCUCGCGCGAUUGGAUGAGCCGAUGUCCGAUUAGCUAGUUGGCGGGGUAAUGGCCCACCAAGGCGACGAUCGGUAGCUGGUCUGAGAGGAUGAUCAGCCACACUGGUACUGGAACACGGACCAG